UGGGGGAUAUUGCACAAUGGAGGAAACUCUGAUGCAGCGACGCCGCGUGAGGGAAGACGGUCUUCGGAUUGUAAACCUCUGUCUUUGGGGAAGAAAAUGACGGUACCCAAAGAGGAAGCUCCGGCUAACUACGUGCCAGCAGCCGCGGUAAUACGUAGGGAGCGAGCGUUGUCCGGAAUUACUGGGUGUAAAGGGAGCGUAGGCGGGCGAGAAAGUUGAAUGUUAAAUCUACCGGCUUAACUGGUAGCUGCGUUCAAAACUUCUUGUCUUGAGUGAAGUAGAGGCAGGCGGAAUUCCUAGUGUAGCGGUGAAAUGCGUAGAUAUUAGGAGGAACACCAGUGGCGAAGGCGGCCUGCUGGGCUUUAACUGACGCUGAGGCUCGAAAGCGUGGGGAGCAAAC
Molecule: ribosomal RNA, 400 nt
Filed under: uncultured bacterium
Lineage: Bacteria
Description: bacterial SSU rRNA
Rfam family: Bacterial small subunit ribosomal RNA
Source: RNAcentral